Molecule: ribosomal RNA, 189 nt
Filed under: uncultured Bacteroidota bacterium
Lineage: Bacteria; Pseudomonadati; Bacteroidota
Description: uncultured Bacteroidetes bacterium partial 16S ribosomal RNA
Rfam family: Bacterial small subunit ribosomal RNA
Source: RNAcentral
CCUACGGGAGGCAGCAGUGAGGAAUAUUGCACAAUGGAGGAAACUCUGAUGCAGCCAUGCCGCGUGCAGGAUGAAGGCCCUAUGGGUUGUAAACUGCUUUUUUACAAGAAGAAACCUUGGUACGUGUACCAACUUGACGGUAUUGUAAGAAUAAGCACCGGCUAACUCCGUGCCAGCAGCCGCGGUAAU